RNAcentral lists this ribosomal RNA (346 nucleotides) under uncultured bacterium. RNAcentral describes it as "bacterial SSU rRNA". It matches the Rfam family "Bacterial small subunit ribosomal RNA", at positions 43 to 362 of the family's 1533-position model. The record is from RNAcentral.
GGCCGCGGGAAUUCGAUUCAGGCCUAACACAUGCAAGUCGAGCGAUGCGAUCCUUAAAAAACAAUUAGCGGCGGACGGGUGAGUAACACGUGGGUAACCUGCCUCAAAGAGGGGAAUAGCCUCCCGAAAGGGAGAUUAAUACCGCAUAAUAUGUUUUGAUCGCAUGAUCAAAACAUCAAAGGAUUCUCUUCGGAGAUUCCACUUUGAGAUGGACCCGCGGCGCAUUAGCUAGUUGGUGAGGUAACGGCUCACCAAGGCAACGAUGCGUAGCCGACCUGAGAGGGUGAUCGGCCACAUUGGAACUGAGACACGGUCCAGACUCCUACGGGAGGCAGCAGUGGGGAAU